RNAcentral lists this ribosomal RNA (249 nucleotides) under uncultured prokaryote. Its description in RNAcentral is "partial 16S ribosomal RNA". It matches the Rfam family "Bacterial small subunit ribosomal RNA", at positions 524 to 772 of the family's 1533-position model. The record is from RNAcentral.
UACGGAGGAUGCAAGCGUUAUCCGGAUUUAUUGGGUUUAAAGGGUGCGCAGGUUGUUUGAUAAGUCAGUGGUGAAAGUCUGUCGCUUAACGGUAGGAUUGCCAUUGAUACUGUUGGACUUGAAUAUGGAUGAGGUAGGCGGAAUGUGUAGUGUAGCGGUGAAAUGCAUAGAUAUUACACAGAACACCGAUUGCGAAGGCAGCUUACUAAUCCAUCAUUGACGCUGAGGCUCGAAAGCGUGGGGAGCAAA